CUGGGAGGACCAUCUCCUAAGGCUAAAUACUCUCUAGUGACCGAUAGUGAACCAGUACCGUGAGGGAAAGGUGAAAAGCACCCCGGAAGGGGAGUGAAAUAGAACCUGAAACCGUGUGCUUACAAGUAGUCAGAGCCCGUUAAUGGGUGAUGGCGUGCCUUUUGUAGAAUGAACCGGCGAGUUACGAUUUGAUGCAAGGUUAAGCAGUAAAUGUGGAGCCGUAGCGAAAGCGAGUCUGAAUAGGGCGUUUAGUAUUUGGUCGUAGACCCGAAACCAGGUGAUCUACCCUUGGUCAGGUUGAAGUUCAGGUAACACUGAAUGGAGGACCGAACCGACUUACGUUGAAAAGUGAGCGGAUGAACUGAGGGUAGCGGAGAAAUUCCAAUCGAACCUGGAGAUAGCUGGUUCUCUCCGAAAUAGCUUUAGGGCUAGCCUCAAGUGAUGAUUAUUGGAGGUAGAGCA
RNAcentral lists this ribosomal RNA (462 nucleotides) under Staphylococcus aureus. RNAcentral describes it as "partial 23S ribosomal RNA". It matches the Rfam family "Bacterial large subunit ribosomal RNA", at positions 444 to 909 of the family's 2925-position model. The record is from RNAcentral. Lineage: Bacteria; Bacillati; Bacillota; Bacilli; Caryophanales; Staphylococcaceae.